This 1452-nucleotide ribosomal RNA is filed under the name uncultured Bordetella sp. RNAcentral describes it as "partial 16S-23S ribosomal RNA intergenic spacer". It matches the Rfam family "Bacterial small subunit ribosomal RNA". Lineage: Bacteria; Pseudomonadati; Pseudomonadota; Betaproteobacteria; Burkholderiales; Alcaligenaceae. The record is from RNAcentral.
GGUUCGAUCAUGGCUCAGAUUCCAGACGCUUUGGCGGGAUGUGUUUACAUACAGUCGGGCAGCUGGACUUCGGUCUGGUGGCGAGUGGCGAACAGGUGAGUAAUGUAUCGGAACGUGCCUAGUAGCGGGGGAUAACUAUGGCCUUCGUGGCUACAUACGCCCUUCGGGGGAAAGCGGGGGACCUUCGGGCCUCGCACUAUUCCGAAACGGCCGAUAUCGGAUUAACCAGUUGGUGGGAGUGUUAACGGCUCACCAAGGCGACGAUCCGUAGCUGGUUUGAGAGGACGACCAGCCACACUGGGACUGAGACACGGCCCCAGACUCCUACGGGAGGCAGCAGUGGGGGCUGGACAAUGGAAACCUGAUCAGCUUAUCCCGCGUGUGCGAUGAAGGCCUUCCGGGUUGUAAAGCACCUUUUGGCAGAAAACUUGGCACGGGAUAAUACACCCCGUGCAACUGACAGUACCUGCAAAAUAAGCACCGGCUAACUUCGUGCAGCAGCCGCGGUAAUACGUAGUGCAAGCGUUAAUCAGAUUACCUGGGCGUAAAGCGUGCGCGGGCGGUUCCGGAAAGAAAGAUGUGAAAUCCAGAGGCUUAACUUUAGAACUGCAUUUUUAACUGAGCUAGAGUGUGUCAGAGGUGGAACCGCGUGUAGCAGUGAAAUCGUGAUAUGCGGAGGAACACCGAUGGCGAAGGCAGCCUCCUGGGAUAACACCAACUCAUGCGGCGGCGAGGAGCAAACAGGAUUAGAUACCUAGUGGUCUACCGCCCUAAACGAUGUCAGCUAGCUGUUGGGGCCUUCGGGCCUUGGUAGCGCAACUAACGUGAAGUUGACCGCCUGGGAGAUACGGUCGCAAGAUUAAAACUCAAAGGAAUUGACGAAGGAUUACACAAGCGGUGGAUGAUGUGGAUUAAUUCGAUGCAGCAUGAAAAGCUAUACCUACGCACAACAUGUCUGGAAUCCAAGAGAUUUGAGGUGCUCGCAAGAGAACCCCGGAACCUGAGUGCUGCAUGGCUGUCGUCAGCUCGUGUCGUGAGAUGUUGGGUUAAGUCCACAGCGAAGCGCAACCCUUGUCAUUAGUUGCUACGAGGCACUCUAAGUGAGACUGCUGAUGACAAACCCGGAGGAAGGUGAGGAUGACGUCAAAGUCCUCAUGGCCCUUAUGGGUAGGGCUUCACACACGUCAUACAAUGGUCGGGACAGAGGUCGCCAGCCCGCGAGGAGCAAUCCAGAAGCCGAUCGUAGUCGGAUCCAUGAUCUGCAAACUCGACUGCGUGAAGCCGGAAUCGCUAGUAAUCGCGGAUCAACAUGUCACGGUGAAUACGUUCCCAGGUCUUGUACACACCGCCCGUCCUGUACGGAGUGGGUUUACCAGAAGUAGUUAGCCUAACUGUAAAGGAGGCGAUUACCACGGUAGGAUUCAUGACUGGGGUGAAGUCGUAACAAGGUAA